ACAACCUGCUGUUUGCCUCAUCCAUCCUGUUCACAGGUUCAACUUAUACAGAAAUCUUUGAUUGGGCUGAGCUACUGAAUCUCCAAAUUCCAAAGAAGACAACAUUUUACUUCCUGCAGUCUACUUACCUCAUACCAGUGAUUGAGUAUGCAUACAAAGACCAUCACAAAGAGAUAAUGAGAAAACUACAGACAAUUGGUGGUGGGAUUUCAAUCUGCGGUGAUGGUCGUUCUGAUUCACCUGGAUUUAGUGCCAAGUACACUACAUACAGUUUCAUGAGUGAUGAAACAAAGGAAAUCAUCAUGGUUGAGUUAGUUCAGGUAACAGAGGCAACCAGUUCACCAGCCAUGGAGAUAUUGGGAUUUCGGAGGUGUCUGGAGCGUUCGCUUCAGGCAGGAGUUGUAGUAGAUACCAUCACCACAGACCGCUCUCCUUCUAUCAGGAAGCUUAUGAGAGAGACCUACUGUGACAUCCAGCAUCAGUUUGACCCAUGACAUGUUGCCAAAGGACUGAAGAAGAAGUUGACUGCGGCUGCUAAAAAUAAGAAAAACAAUGAUCUGCUUCCUUGGAUCAAGGCAAUUAAUAAUCACUUUUGGUGGUGUUGUCAGUCAUGUGGUGGUGAUGCUGAGGAGUUGAAACGUCGCUGGACGUCAAUUCUGCAUCACAUUUGUGGCAUCCAUCGGUGGGAGGAAGAUGGACAGGAGAGGACUUGCUACCACCAAGAACUCACUGAAGAUCAGCAGAGAAAAAAGGAAUGGCUGCAAACAGACUCUGCUGCAUUCAAGGCACUGUCAGACCACGCACUCAACAAGAACCUGUUGAAAGACCUCAAACACAUGACUCUCUUCAAACAUACAGGAGACCUGGAAGUUUACCACAGUGCAAUGCUGAAGUACACUCAGAAGAGGCUACACUUCAGCUACAACUCUAUGAAGGCACGUACCCUACUCUCUGUGAUGGACCACAACGAGAAUGUUGGCCGUCAGCAAGCAAAAACCAC
Molecule: long non-coding RNA, 1000 nt
Organism: Rhinichthys klamathensis goyatoka
Lineage: Eukaryota; Metazoa; Chordata; Actinopteri; Cypriniformes; Leuciscidae
Exons: 5
Source: RefSeq, a predicted model, not a curated record